UCCACACUGGUUCGUAAACAUCCCAGUUAAAAAAACUAGAAAGCA
Molecule: non-coding RNA, 45 nt
Filed under: Ligilactobacillus salivarius
Lineage: Bacteria; Bacillati; Bacillota; Bacilli; Lactobacillales; Lactobacillaceae
Also listed under: 1 other name
Description: Lactobacillus salivarius PreQ1-I sequence
Rfam family: PreQ1 (pre queuosine) riboswitch aptamer
About the family: This family is a bacterial riboswitch that binds to the metabolite preQ1, an intermediate in the biosynthesis of the modified nucleoside queuosine from GTP. One example of this riboswitch is located in the leader of the Bacillus subtilis ykvJKLM (queCDEF) operon which encodes four genes necessary for queuosine production. PreQ1 binding to the riboswitch aptamer is thought to induce premature transcription termination within the leader to down-regulate expression of these genes.
Source: RNAcentral